AAUUGGAGGGCAAGUCUGGUGCCAGCAGCCGCGGUAAUUCCAGCUCCAAUAGCGUAUAUUAAAGUUGUUGCAGUUAAAAAGCUCGUAGUUGAAUUUCGGGGUCAGUAGAUUGGUCAUGCCACUGGUAUGUACUGGUCUUACUGGCUCCUCCUUCCUGAUGAACCGUAAUGCCAUUAAUUUGGUGUUGCGGGGAGACUGGACUGUUACUUUGAAAAAAUUAGAGUGUUUAAAGCAGGCUAACGCUUGAAUACAUUAGCAUGGAAUAAUGAAAUAGGACGUUCGGUCUUAUUUUGUUGGUUUCUAAGAUUGACGUAAUGAUUAAUAGGGAUAGUUGGGGGCAUUAGUAUUCAAUUGUCAGAGGUGAAAUUCUUGGAUUUAUUGAAGACUAACUACUGCGAAAGCAUUUGCCAAGGAUGUUUUCAUUAAUCAAGAACGAAAGUUAGGGGAUCGAAGACGAUCAGAUACCGUCGUAGUCUUAACCAUAAACUAUGCCGACUAGGGAUCGGAUGAUGUUAAUUUUUUAAUGACUCAUUCGGCGCCUUACGGGAAACCAAAGUGU
Molecule: ribosomal RNA, 559 nt
Filed under: uncultured Glomus
Lineage: Eukaryota; Fungi; Glomeromycota; Glomeromycetes; Glomerales; Glomeraceae
Description: SSU rRNA
Rfam family: Eukaryotic small subunit ribosomal RNA
Source: RNAcentral